GACUGUGCAAGCCCUGUCCACAGGGCUGGGAGCAGUUUUCUUCCAAGUGUUACUACUUCUCCACCGAGGGGAAGAGCUGGAAGAACAGUCACAGUGACUGCUUAAGACGGGGAGCUGACCUGGUGAUUAUAGAGAGUUACGAGGAGCACGAGUUCAUCAACAAAUACAUACAAGAUUUGAACUGGAUUGGACUGAGUGACUCAGAAAAUGAGGGCACCUGGCUCUGGGUGGAUGGAACCCCCCUGCAGAAAAACUACUGGAGGAGUGGAGAACCAAAUGAUCAUUACACACUAAGCAGAGUCAAAAACUCAGGUGCAGACUGUGCACUUACUUACCGUGGUGAGAAUGUGUGGGUGGACGCAGGCUGCCAUUUGUCCUUCCGCUUCAUCUGUGAGACUGAUGCUCUGCUCCUUUAAUUGCCUAUGGUGUAACAUUGAUGCCGAAUGGGAAAUCCAUUUUUGUACCAUGACAGUUUUAACCUUUUCCUCAGCUGAAAAUAUCAAAAUAAGCAGAACUGUGCCAGUGUUUGAGUGGUGUGUCAUCAAAGCGCUCAGUGCCAGGAGAGAAAUCCUGUCAUCUUGAUAAUAUAGUUGUUUGCACUCCAUUCCUCUGAAACCUCUGGUUAUGAAUCACAUUUUAAAGAUUAAACUUGGAUAUGAAUUUGUGUAUUUUCAGAUUAACUGAAAUGUUAAUUCAGUGAAAUAAUGUUCAACUAAGCUACUUAAAUGGAAUUGGUUCAUUGAGAAAAAUGCUG
Molecule: long non-coding RNA, 754 nt
Organism: Conger conger (European conger)
Lineage: Eukaryota; Metazoa; Chordata; Actinopteri; Anguilliformes; Congridae
Exons: 3
Source: RefSeq, a predicted model, not a curated record